This 459-nucleotide long non-coding RNA is filed under the name Daucus carota (carrot). RNAcentral's name for it is "long non-coding RNA (DCAR_LNC007686)". The record is from RNAcentral. Lineage: Eukaryota; Viridiplantae; Streptophyta; Magnoliopsida; Apiales; Apiaceae.
CAAGUUUUAUUAGCAAAACCUUCACUAGAUCCUUACAAACAUAUAUAUCAUAAUGGAUAGAUCACUAGUAAGAAUUAGUUCAUUAUUUUUACUAGUUAUACUAAUUAACCAUAUUGUUUUGCCAACAAAUGCUCGAGUUAUAUCUGGUACAACUUCCGCUAGUGAGUUAGAAGCAUGUCCCCCUAGCGAUGAGAUUGCAACGAGCCUCAUGGGUGAAGAACCUGCUCCUUCUUUCACUGAAGUGGAAGUCACGUCAAAAUCAAAUGUUGUUGAUUCUCAAGUGAACACCGAUGAAAUAGCAGCUUGUCCUCCCAAAAAUUGACCACAAAUUUAUGCAUUCAGUUUGAAGUAAAGAACUUAAAUAAGAAAUCCUAUCAAAAAAAUUUAAACUGAUGUGUAUGUUGGAACCUUCAACGAUGUAUGCUUUGUUUCUAAAUGAAUAAUAAAAGCAUGUGUUGU